Molecule: ribosomal RNA, 191 nt
Filed under: Aspergillus flavus
Lineage: Eukaryota; Fungi; Ascomycota; Eurotiomycetes; Eurotiales; Aspergillaceae
Description: partial 18S ribosomal RNA
Rfam family: Eukaryotic small subunit ribosomal RNA
Source: RNAcentral
UUACGUCCCCUGCCCUUUGUACACACCGCCCGUCGCUACUACCGAUUGAAUGGCUCGGUGAGGCCUUCGGACUGGCCCAGGAGGGUUGGCAACGACCCCCCAGGGCCGGAAAGUUGGUCAAACCCGGUCAUUUAGAGGAAGUAAAAGUCGUAACAAGGUUUCCGUAGGUGAACCUGCGGAAGGAUCAUUAC